RNAcentral lists this ribosomal RNA (1391 nucleotides) under Streptomyces sp. S4. RNAcentral describes it as "bacterial LSU rRNA". It matches the Rfam family "Bacterial large subunit ribosomal RNA", at positions 1557 to 2925 of the family's 2925-position model. Lineage: Bacteria; Bacillati; Actinomycetota; Actinomycetes; Kitasatosporales; Streptomycetaceae. The record is from RNAcentral.
UGAGACCUGAUGCCGAGCCGAUUGUGGUGAAGUGGAUGAUCCUAUGCUGUCGAGAAAAGCCUCUAGCGAGUUUCAUGGCGGCCCGUACCCUAAACCGACUCAGGUGGUCAGGUAGAGAAUACCGAGGCGUUCGGGUGAACUAUGGUUAAGGAACUCGGCAAAAUGCCCCCGUAACUUCGGGAGAAGGGGGGCCAUGUCUGGUGAUGAGUCUUGCACUCUGAGCUGGGUGUGGCCGCAGAGACCAGCGAGAAGCGACUGUUUACUAAAAACACAGGUCCGUGCGAAGCCGUAAGGCGAUGUAUACGGACUGACGCCUGCCCGGUGCUGGAACGUUAAGGGGACCGGUUAGUCACAUUUCGGUGUGGCGAAGCUGAGAACUUAAGCGCCAGUAAACGGCGGUGGUAACUAUAACCAUCCUAAGGUAGCGAAAUUCCUUGUCGGGUAAGUUCCGACCUGCACGAAUGGCGUAACGACUUCUCGACUGUCUCAACCAUAGGCCCGGUGAAAUUGCAUUACGAGUAAAGAUGCUCGUUUCGCGCAGCAGGACGGAAAGACCCCGGGACCUUUACUACAGUUUGAUAUUGGUGUUCGGUUCGGCUUGUGUAGGAUAGGUGGGAGACUGUGAAGCAUGCACGCCAGUGUGUGUGGAGUCGUCGUUGAAAUACCACUCUGGUCGUGCUGGAUGUCUAACCUGGGUCCGUGAUCCGGAUCAGGGACAGUGUCUGAUGGGUAGUUUAACUGGGGCGGUUGCCUCCUAAAGAGUAACGGAGGCGCCCAAAGGUUCCCUCAGCCUGGUUGGUAAUCAGGUGUUGAGUGUAAGUGCACAAGGGAGCUUGACUGUGAGACCGACGGGUCGAGCAGGGACGAAAGUCGGGACUAGUGAUCCGGCGGUGGCUUGUGGAAGCGCCGUCGCUCAACGGAUAAAAGGUACCCCGGGGAUAACAGGCUGAUCUUCCCCAAGAGUCCAUAUCGACGGGAUGGUUUGGCACCUCGAUGUCGGCUCGUCGCAUCCUGGGGCUGGAGUCGGUCCCAAGGGUUGGGCUGUUCGCCCAUUAAAGCGGUACGCGAGCUGGGUUUAGAACGUCGUGAGACAGUUCGGUCCCUAUCCGCUGUGCGCGUAGGAAUAUUGAGAAGGGCUGUCCCUAGUACGAGAGGACCGGGACGGACGAACCUCUGGUGUGCCAGUUGUUCUGCCAAGGGCAUGGCUGGUUGGCUACGUUCGGGAGGGAUAACCGCUGAAAGCAUCUAAGCGGGAAGCCUGCUUCGAGAUGAGUAUUCCCACCUCCUUGAGAGGGUAAGGCUCCCAGUAGACGACUGGGUUGAUAGGCCGGAUAUGGAAGCCCUGUAAGGGGUGGAGUUGACCGGUACUAAUAGGCCGAGGGCUUGUCCUC